This 365-nucleotide ribosomal RNA is filed under the name uncultured bacterium. RNAcentral's name for it is "bacterial SSU rRNA". It matches the Rfam family "Bacterial small subunit ribosomal RNA", at positions 971 to 1340 of the family's 1533-position model. The record is from RNAcentral.
UUACCCACCUUUGACAUGACUCGAAUCCUUUAGAGAGAGUGCCUUGCGGGAAAGAGAACCAGCACACAGGUGGUGCAUGUCAGUUGUCAUCUUGUGUCGUGAGAUGUUGGGUUAAAUCCAGCAACGACCGCAACCCUUGUCAUUAGCUGGUAAGAAAGGGCACUCUAAGGAGACUGCCGGUGACAAACCGGAGGAAGGUGGGGAUGACGUCAAGUCCUCAUGGCCCUUAUAGGUGGGGCUACACACGUCAUACAAUGGCCGGUACAAAGGGUCGCAAACCCGCGAGGGGGAGCUAAUCCAUCAAAGCCGGUCGUAGUCCGGAUCGCAGUCUGCAACUCGACUGCGUGAAGUCGGAAUCGCUAGUA